RNAcentral lists this ribosomal RNA (1149 nucleotides) under Dermacoccus sp. Its description in RNAcentral is "bacterial SSU rRNA". It matches the Rfam family "Bacterial small subunit ribosomal RNA", at positions 140 to 1303 of the family's 1533-position model. Lineage: Bacteria; Bacillati; Actinomycetota; Actinomycetes; Micrococcales; Dermacoccaceae. The record is from RNAcentral.
GGGAUAAGCCUGGGAAACUGGGUCUAAUACUGGAUACGACCGAUCUCCGCAUGGAGUGUUGGUGGAAAGUUUUUGUGGUGGGGGAUGGACUCGCGGCCUAUCAGCUUGUUGGUGGGGUAAUGGCCUACCAAGGCGACGACGGGUAGCCGGCCUGAGAGGGCGACCGGCCACACUGGGACUGAGACACGGCCCAGACUCCUACGGGAGGCAGCAGUGGGGAAUAUUGCACAAUGGGCGAAAGCCUGAUGCAGCGACGCCGCGUGAGGGAUGACGGCCUUCGGGUUGUAAACCUCUUUCACCAGGGACGAAGCUAACGUGACGGUACCUGGAGAAGAAGCACCGGCUAACUACGUGCCAGCAGCCGCGGUAAUACGUAGGGUGCGAGCGUUGUCCGGAAUUAUUGGGCGUAAAGAGCUUGUAGGCGGUUUGUCGCGUCUGCUGUGAAAGACCGGGGCUUAACUCCGGUUCUGCAGUGGGUACGGGCAGACUAGAGUGUGGUAGGGGAGACUGGAAUUCCUGGUGUAGCGGUGAAAUGCGCAGAUAUCAGGAGGAACACCGAUGGCGAAGGCAGGUCUCUGGGCCAUUACUGACGCUGAGAAGCGAAAGCAUGGGGAGCGAACAGGAUUAGAUACCCUGGUAGUCCAUGCCGUAAACGUUGGGCGCUAGGUGUGGGACUCAUUCCACGAGUUCCGUGCCGCAGCUAACGCAUUAAGCGCCCCGCCUGGGGAGUACGGCCGCAAGGCUAAAACUCAAAGGAAUUGACGGGGGCCCGCACAAGCGGCGGAAGCAUGCGGAUUAAUUCGAUGCAACGCGAAGAACCUUACCAAGGCUUGACAUACACCGGAAUCAUGCAGAGAUGUGUGCGUCUUCGGACUGGUGUACAGGUGGUGCAUGGUUGUCGUCAGCUCGUGUCGUGAGAUGUUGGGUUAAGUCCCGCAACGAGCGCAACCCUCGUUCCAUGUUGCCAGCACUUCGGGUGGGGACUCAUGGGAGACUGCCGGGGUCAACUCGGAGGAAGGUGGGGAUGACGUCAAAUCAUCAUGCCCCUUAUGUCUUGGGCUUCACGCAUGCUACAAUGGCCGGUACAGAGGGUUGCGAAACCGUGAGGUGGAGCUAAUCCCAAAAAACCGGUCUCAGUUCGGAUUGGGG